GCCGCCUAGGCAGUAUUGUGGAUAUGGCCCUCGGCUUGUAACCGAGUGGGCUCGGGUUCGAAACCCGCAACA
Trichonephila clavata is the source of this 72-nucleotide non-coding RNA. The record is from the annotation of a GenBank genome assembly. NCBI's taxonomy places the organism in Eukaryota, Metazoa, Arthropoda, Arachnida, Araneae, Nephilidae.